RNAcentral lists this ribosomal RNA (442 nucleotides) under uncultured bacterium. Its description in RNAcentral is "partial 16S ribosomal RNA". It matches the Rfam family "Bacterial small subunit ribosomal RNA", at positions 338 to 795 of the family's 1533-position model. The record is from RNAcentral.
CCUACGGGAGGCUGCAGUGGGGAAUAUUGGGCAAUGGGCGCAAGCCUGACCCAGCAACGCCGCGUGAAGGAAGAAGGCCUUCGGGUUGUAAACUUCUUUUAAGAGGGAAGAGCAGAAGACGGUACCUCUUGAAUAAGCCAGGGCUAACUACGUGCGAGCAGCCGCGGUAAUACGUAGGUGGCAAGCGUUGUCCGGAGUUACUGGGUGUAAAGGGCGUGUAGCCGGGCUGACAAGUCAGAUGUGAAAUCCCCGGGCUCAACCCCGGACCUGCAUUUGAAACUGGUGGUCUUGAGUAUCGGAGAGGCAGGCGGAAUUCCUGGUGUAGCGGUGAAAUGCGUAGAUAGUAGGAGGAACACCAGUGGCGAAGGCGGCCUGCUGGACGACAACUGACGGUGAGGCGCGAAAGCGUGGGGAGCAAACAGGAUUAGAUACCCUUGUAGUC